GUGGUUUUAGAUGUGAAGAUAAAGGGCGGAGUGAAGAAAGAAAGAGAUAUAUACAACCUACAACUCGAUAAUGGAUCCUAAAAGACACAAGCUAUAGCUUUUAAGAAGAAACUAUUGAUAAAAAUUAUGGAAUUUAGACAAUGACGUUGAUAUUGCAUGGAGGGCGACGGUGAGUUGCAUUAAGAAAAUAGUAGUAGAAAUGCUAGGCAUAUCCUAAGGUAGAUGACCAUGCUCACAGGAGUCUUGGUGGUGAAUUGAGGAGAUUUAAAAAACCAUAAAAAUGAAAAGAGAAUGGUAUAGAAAGUUACUAACAAAAGAUGAUGAGGCCUUUAAGUAGAGGUGG
This 343-nucleotide unclassified non-coding RNA is filed under the name Hevea brasiliensis (rubber tree). The record is from RNAcentral. Lineage: Eukaryota; Viridiplantae; Streptophyta; Magnoliopsida; Malpighiales; Euphorbiaceae.